This 253-nucleotide ribosomal RNA is filed under the name uncultured bacterium. Its description in RNAcentral is "partial 16S ribosomal RNA". It matches the Rfam family "Bacterial small subunit ribosomal RNA", at positions 524 to 776 of the family's 1533-position model. The record is from RNAcentral.
UACGGAGGGGGCUAGCGUUGUUCGGAAUUACUGGGCGUAAAGCGCACGUAGGCGGCUUCGUAAGUCAGAGGUGAAAGCCCCGGGCUCAACCCCGGAACUGCCUUUGAGACUGCGUAGCUCGAAUCCGGGAGAGGCGGGUGGAAUUCCGAGUGUAGAGGUGAAAUUCGUAGAGAUCUGGAGGAACACCAGUGGCGAAGGCGGCCCGCUGGACGGGGACUGACGCUGAGGUGCGAAAGCGUGGGGAGCAAACAGG